This is a long non-coding RNA of Melanotaenia boesemani (Boeseman's rainbowfish), 541 nucleotides long. RefSeq lists it as uncharacterized. The record is from RefSeq and is a predicted model, not a curated record. NCBI's taxonomy places the organism in Eukaryota, Metazoa, Chordata, Actinopteri, Atheriniformes, Melanotaeniidae. The transcript has 4 exons.
GUCUUUAAGACACAAGACUCACAAACACUUUGGCAGCUGGACGUCCCGACCGAGGAAAAGGUGAAAAUAAAAUGCUAAAAUCAGGAUCAUGAUACUGGAAACAAGGACGUCGUCCUUCUUCCGGGACAUCCAGCUGUUCUGUCAUCAAACGUGGCACAAAGCAGAAGCUGCUGAACGAGGACAUGAACUGAACGGAUCUGAAUUCCAGAAAUCUGGGACCAACGGAGUUCCUGAACCAAUAAGAGACGCCUUUGGAGGGAAGCUGUCAGCUGAUGUCAGCCUAGAGUUUCUGACGGCAUGUGGCAACAGACUGAUUUCAGCCAAACUGCAGCUGGACAGCAGCUGGAUGCAGAUCUGAUACACAAAGUCUAGAAAUGGAAAGUUCUGUCCAUCAGACCAACACAGCGGAUUCUGGGAUGUUCUGCUCUCUUGAUUCAGAGAUGGACUGAAAACACUUGGUGUGCUGGACUAAAUCCAAGCUCAGCUCUUCUGUGCUGGUCUCCUGCAGCCUCUCAGCUGAUGUGGCCGACAGUCUUUUCAU